RNAcentral lists this long non-coding RNA (3015 nucleotides) under Macaca mulatta (Rhesus monkey). Its description in RNAcentral is "lncRNA (ENSMMUG00000039009.2)". The record is from RNAcentral. Lineage: Eukaryota; Metazoa; Chordata; Mammalia; Primates; Cercopithecidae.
GGCAUCUGUAAGAUGUCAUUCUCAAGUCUGACAAAUGAUGUCUUAUCUCCUCUAAUCUUCACAAACAUCUUUAGAAAGAUGUAUUAUUUAACCUUUUUUUUUUUUUUUUUUUUUUUGAGAUGGAGUCUUGCUGUGUCGCCCAGGCUGGAGUGCAGUGACGUGAUCUUGGCUCACUGCAACCUCCACCUCCCAGGUUCAAGCAAUUAUCCUGCCUCAGCCUCCUGAGUAGCUGGAAUUACAGGUGUGCACCACCACACCCUGCUAAUUUUUGUAUUUUUAGUAGAGACAGGGUUUCACCACGUUGGCCAGGCUGCUCUUGAAUUCCUGACCUCAGGUAAUUGGCCCACCUCAGUCUCCCAACAUGCUGGGAUUACAGGCGUGAGCCACCAUGCCCGGCCUAUUUCACAUUUUACAGAUGAGAAAACCAAGACUCAAAAAGGUUAAGUGAUGUGCCCAAAACCCACACAGUUAAUGAAAGGCAGAGCUGGAAUUUGAACUUGGCACAGGACUGACUCCAAAGCCUGUGGUUUCAACUCCAACUCCCAAAUGAGAAGCAGUGUACUCUAGAUGAUACCAUGCCGCUCCCAACCAAGUUCUCUCACUUUGCUUUUUACCUUUCAUUGCCAUCUGCCUAGCGGAACCUACACACCAUGGAGAUUUAGAGGGGCCCCAAAUAAGGGGGAGGGAUUCCAGACAUGGCGUUUGAGUCUCAGAGAGACCAGAAUUUAGAAGGGGUUAGAAUCUGUGUUCAGAACUGUUAUCGAUGAUUGCUAAGUUACCUUGUCAGUCACCUCAGUUUUUGCGACCUGGCCUGUGAACCUAACCACCCUUACAAUCUUGUUUUUAAAAAUACAUGUUGUGUAAGUUCCGAUAAACUUUUGAAACCAGCUCAAUGGCAACUCAACUGCCUGGAUUGAGAUUAGGUGUGGUUGGUGAGGAAUCAGCUGAGACACUGAUGGAGAAAAAAAUGCAUGAGUGCAUGAACGUGGAUUAUAACAGUGGCAGCAAACAGAGCAACCUGGCAGCUUUGUGGCCACACAAUGAUGGCUACAGUAUGAGGAGGGGAGAACAGGAUGGCUUUGGCAUAAGAACCAAGGGGAAAGGGCAGAUGCCAGGGGCGUUCCUUAGGAAAUGGCAGCAAGCCUGCUGAUAGAUGGAAUGCAUCGGAGUCCUUGGCAAAGUGGCUUCUAUUGAAUCUGAAAUUGUUUGGGCUUUUUUGAAAAUACUGGUGUUAAUCCAAGUCUGUUGUCACUGCGUUUUCAUUUCCUCUUCUCUCUUAUAUUUCUUGCUGCUCACAUUAGUCCUGAAUGGUUUACCUGCCAUUUUAUACAUAAGAAAAUAUUUUUAACCUCAGUGAGGUCACAUCCUAACAGUAUUAAUAGGCCUUUUGUUCAUUUUGAGUAAGGGAGAAAACUCCAUUUUUCACAUAGAUCUUCAUUAGACUUGAAUAGAAAAAAAUGAUUUGGUUUUCUCCUUUAAGAUUUAUUAAGCAUCAUAUAAUGCUACCAUUCAUCGGGUGUUCAAGUGAUUUUGAUACAGCAGGGGAUGAAGGAAACAUCCACUCCAAACUGCUUUUUAUCCUUUGCCUUUUAUUGUCCUCCUUCCGCACUACUGCCCCCGAAGAAAGUCACCCCACGAGUCAGUGAAAAUCUGCAGUGGAACCUUCCUGAAAUGGCACACAGCAUCUAUUCUCUUGCUCCAUGGCAAAUCUGUCAUCCAGUAGUUGGUCAUUUUUCUUCACCUAUAUAAUGAAGCUUAAGAUUUAUUACAAACUUGGUCCAGAGCCUAAUUUCUGUUCAUAAAACCCUGUCAUUCUUGGAUGAACUAUGCUGUUUUAGGGCCAAGAUUGUAAUGAAACACUGGCUUGGCAGUUCCCAAUGGUGGGAUUUAGGAAAUCUAAGAGAUGCUGUCUUCAACAGUGAACAAAGAGGUUUAGAUCACCCGGCACCACUGGCUCUGGGCUGUCGGUGGAGUUAGCCUCCUUUUGUCCACGAUGCUCACACUUCCAAGCCUGGAUCCUCACAUCUAUUGAACAACUCAUCUUGAGAUGGGUCCCAUGCCCUUAUUUCAGAUCUUUUGAAAUUAAGUGGAAAGGAAGUAAUCAUCUUCCUUCCUUAUCCUGCUGCCUUGGAACAGUUUUUCACCUCACAGCAGCAAAUGUGUCGCAGCCACUUACUUCAUUCAUCUCCAGAUGCGUCCCUUUAUCUAUAAAUGUGUUACUGUAACAUUUUCUAGACCAUAAAUGGCUGAAGACAUCAGACAGAGCUGGCAUAGAAUGUAACAAAGAGUAGGGAUUUUGCUUUAUUCAACUUUAUAUGUUCUGUAGGUGUCAGUACAUAGAGGGUACUAAAUAGCAGGUGGAUGAAGUAAUGCAAUAAUGAAUUUGCUACUGAUUUUUCACCUGGAAAGACAUUAAGGUGCUUUACACAGUCUCCACCAUCUUUUAGGGUUUUAAAGUUUGUGCUUGUAUUUCAAAAAAGAAAUCAUAAAUAAAAGAAACAACUUGGACUUUAGACAAAGCCAGAAAAACUCAGCUCUGAAAUGAGUAGUGGCAACAACCCAGCCAUUGAUUUCUUUAUCUGGAAAUUUACAGGAAUGAUGAGUUGCUGCUUCCAUAAUGAUUGCAAAUUGCUGUUUCUCAGUCACUUAGCUUAGACAAGCUAGUAUUUUCUCUAACCCCAAACCAUGGUGGUCAGAGCCACAAAACAAUAUAUUGCAACAAGAAGGGUAUGCCACACAAUAUUCCUUAAAGUGUGUUCCACCUAGCAGCAUCUCUGGGACCUAUCAGGGUCAGAGUGUUCAGUGGUCAAGUGAAUUUAGUUCACAUCACAUAUUAUAAAUACCCCCAUCUUGGACAUGUACGAUGAUGCACUGUUGCAUAUUACGGAGUCUGAGAAGUUGACCUACUAAAGAGAUUUGAUCACAGAAUCCCAUUUUCAAAUAAUGUCUAUUAUCUUUGGACAGAAGCUACUUUAAGAAAACACUGCUCUGCCCUGAAAGUCAUCAAUACCAUUU